CUCAACGUGUCUCACAAUUACACCCUAAGUUCUCAUGACUUUUAGGGUGCGUUUGGUUCCCGCUAUCUUUUUACUAAGAUUCCUAGUAAUCCAAUAGGAAUAGAAAAAUAUGACGGUGUUUGGCUAAACGCACUAAAUAAUCUAGUUAGUAAUAUUAGAUUUAUUUGGGAAUGAGAUUCAUCUCAAAGUACUAAUCUCAUUCCUUUGAGGGAGGGUUGCUAUUCUCAUAUUAAUGAAUUGGAGUAAUCAUAAUAUGUCUAAUCUCUUUCUUUCUCCCUACCCGCCGGCUAGUUGGUAUUAUUUUUCUUUACACUCUAACCUCAUAUCUCUCUCUAAACUUAUUUUUUUCUCUCUAAACUUCAACUCUUUUUCUCUCUCUAAGCUAAGCUCUCUCCCUCUUUUUCUAAAAUCUCAACUCUCUCACUCCCUCUAAUCNAUCACCUUAAGGACAUUCGGACCCUUGAUUAAUCCUUCACGCACUCAAGCUCUCAGGUUUGGAGUUCGAAAGAGGGUUCGAACUCCCUCAACAAUACAACAAAUAUGUUUUAGACGAUACUUUUUAGACGAUGCUUUAUUGUAGUGUCUUUAAUAUUUGGCAUGUGUUGACACUUGAUUAUGUCUCGUCAAUAAAUAUAUUUUUAUCAAAUAUUGAUAAAAAUUCUCCAAUGCUAAAUUAAAGUAUCAAUAUAUUUAUCCCGACGUAUUUACUAAUUGACUCUUUGCUCGACAAUUUUACAACCGUCGGGAAUAUUCUUGUCAACACUUUAAAGCGUUGCUAGUUAUUAUUUAAAGUGUCUUUAUGUGCAAAAUUUGUUAUAGUGCAAGUAGCAUAUGA
RNAcentral lists this long non-coding RNA (835 nucleotides) under Ananas comosus (pineapple). RNAcentral's name for it is "long non-coding RNA (ACOM_LNC028300)". Lineage: Eukaryota; Viridiplantae; Streptophyta; Magnoliopsida; Poales; Bromeliaceae. The record is from RNAcentral.